Molecule: long non-coding RNA, 422 nt
Filed under: Homo sapiens (human)
Lineage: Eukaryota; Metazoa; Chordata; Mammalia; Primates; Hominidae
Description: non-protein coding lnc-MYLPF-1:5
Source: RNAcentral
AGUCACGUGGGAGGACAAUGGUGAGAAGAGGGAACCUAAGAAUUCCUGGACUCUGACUGGGCGUGAGAAAUGGCCGGAAGUAGCUUCGAGUCCGUCAUUCAAGCAGUAGAGGCUCUGGAGAAAAACUGGAGCGCAUCUGCUUAAAGGGCCGCCCAGGGUCAGGAUGGAGGGGCAAAGUCCGAGCAGGGGGUUUCCUCCCAUAUUGGAUCACGAUGAAAACUGCACAGAAAGUCCGUGCUCAGUUUCUUCCAUGGUUACAGAACACAGGCCCCAGACCAGGAAGGCAUUCUGCUAAAGAAGGGGACCCGAAACCUCAGCUACCAGCGCCGAUGGUUCAUCCUCCGAGGAAACCUCCUCUUCUACCUAGAACACUAGACCGACCAUGCACCCCUGAGCCUCAUCCUGUUAGAGAACUGCCAGGU